CCUACGGGUCGCACCAGUGGGGGAUAUUGCACAAUGGGCGCAAGCCUGAUGCAGCCAUGCCGCGUGUAUGAAGAGGGCCUUCGGGUUGUAAAGUACUUUCAGCGGGGAGGAAGGGAGUAAGGUUAAUAACCUUAUUCAUUGACGUUACCCGCAGAAGAAGCACCGGCUAACUCCGUGCCAGCAGCCGCGGUAAUACGGAGGGUGCAAGCGUUAAUCGGAAUUACUGGGCGUAAAGCGCACGCAGGCGGUCUGUCAAGUCGGAUGUGAAAUCCCCGGGCUCAACCUGGGAACUGCAUUCGAAACUGGAAGGCUGGAGUCUUGUAGGGGGGGGUAGAAUUCCAGGUGUAGCGGUGAAAUGCGUAGAGAUCUGGAGGAAUACCGGUGGCGAAGGCGGCCCCCUGGACAAAGACUGACGCUCAGGUGCGAAAGCGUGGGGAGCAAACAGGAUUAGAUACCCCAGUAGUC
RNAcentral lists this ribosomal RNA (465 nucleotides) under uncultured bacterium. RNAcentral's name for it is "bacterial SSU rRNA". It matches the Rfam family "Bacterial small subunit ribosomal RNA", at positions 338 to 795 of the family's 1533-position model. The record is from RNAcentral.